RNAcentral lists this ribosomal RNA (680 nucleotides) under uncultured bacterium. RNAcentral describes it as "bacterial SSU rRNA". It matches the Rfam family "Bacterial small subunit ribosomal RNA", at positions 823 to 1502 of the family's 1533-position model. The record is from RNAcentral.
UUGGGGGAUUCUACCCCCUCAGUGUCGCAGCUAACGCAUUAAGUACCCCACCUGGGGAGUACGAUCGCAAGGUUGAAACUCAAAGGAAUUGACGGGGGCCCGCACAAGCGGUGGAGCAUGUGGUUUAAUUCGAUGCAACGCGAGGAACCUUACCUGGGCUUGACAUGCAGGGGACAGGUGUAGAAAUACACUCUUCUUCGGACUCCUGUACAGGUGCUGCAUGGCUGUCGUCAGCUCGUGUCGUGAAAUGUUAGGUUAAGUCCUGCAACGAGCGCAACCCCUAUCUUUAGUUGCCAUCAGGUUAUGCUGGGGACUCUAGAGAGACUGCCGGUGACAAACCGGAGGAAGGUGGGGACGACGUCAAGUCAUCAUGGCCCUUACGCCCAGGGCUACACACGUGCUACAAUGGUCGGUACAAUGGGCAGCGAAACAGCGAUGUGGAGCGAAUCCCAAAAAGCCGGUCUCAGUUCGGAUCGUAAUCUGCAACUCGACUACGUGAAGUUGGAAUCGCUAGUAAUCGCGUAUCAGAACGACGCGGUGAAUACGUUCCCGGGCCUUGUACACACCGCCCGUCAAGUCAACCGAGUUGGUUGCACCCCAAGUCGCUGAGCUAACCCGUAAGGGAGGCAGGUGCCCAAGGUGUGAUUAGCGAGGGGGACUAAGUCGUAACAAGGUAGCCG